Molecule: small RNA, 92 nt
Filed under: Staphylococcus aureus
Lineage: Bacteria; Bacillati; Bacillota; Bacilli; Caryophanales; Staphylococcaceae
Description: 5'UTR
Source: RNAcentral
GCCUUUUUCGUUUUGCAAAGUAACUUUAACACCUUUAAUUCCUUUUUCAGUCGAAUCUUGUUUACCAUCUUUAUUACUGUCGUACCAAACAU